CCUACGGGAGGCAGCAGUGGGGAAUAUUGGACAAUGGGCGAAAGCCUGAUCCAGCCAUGCCGCGUGUGUGAAGAAGGCCUUCGGGUUGUAAAGCACUUUCAGUGGGGAAGAAAGCCUAGGGGCUAAUACCCUCGAGGAAGGACAUCACCCACAGAAGAAGCACCGGCUAACUCCGUGCCAGCAGCCGCGGUAAUACGGAGGGUGCGAGCGUUAAUCGGAAUUACUGGGCGUAAAGCGCGCGUAGGCGGUCUGAUAAGCCGGUUGUGAAAGCCCCGGGCUCAACCUGGGAACGGCAUCCGGAACUGUCAGGCUAGAGUGCAGGAGAGGAAGGUAGAAUUCCCGGUGUAGCGGUGAAAUGCGUAGAGAUCGGGAGGAAUACCAGUGGCGAAGGCGGCCUUCUGGACUGACACUGACGCUGAGGUGCGAAAGCGUGGGUAGCAAACAGGAUUAGAUACCCGAGUAGUC
This 465-nucleotide ribosomal RNA is filed under the name Vreelandella stevensii. Its description in RNAcentral is "partial 16S ribosomal RNA". It matches the Rfam family "Bacterial small subunit ribosomal RNA", at positions 338 to 795 of the family's 1533-position model. Lineage: Bacteria; Pseudomonadati; Pseudomonadota; Gammaproteobacteria; Oceanospirillales; Halomonadaceae. The record is from RNAcentral.